CCUACGGGAGGCAGCAGUGAGGAAUAUUGGUCAAUGGGCGCGAGCCUGAACCAGCCAAGUCGCGUGUGGGAGGACGGCCCUACGGGUUGUAAACACCUUUUGCCGGGGAGCAACGGGCGUCGCGUGUGGCGCCACUGAUAGUACCCGCAGACAGAGCAUCGGCAAACUCAGUGCCAGCCGGCGCGCUAAUACGGAGGAUGCGAGCGUAAUCCGGAUUUAUUGGGUUAAAGGGGUGCGUAGGCGGGGAGUUAAGUCAGUGUUCAAAUCGAGGGGCUCAACCCCUUCCCGCCAUUGAAACUGGCGUUCUUGAGUGGAAGAGAGGUAGGCAGAAUGCGUGGUGUAGCGGUGAAAUGCAUAGAGAUCACGCAGAACCCCGAUUGCGAAGGCAGCAUGCUGG
This 397-nucleotide ribosomal RNA is filed under the name uncultured bacterium. RNAcentral describes it as "partial 16S ribosomal RNA". It matches the Rfam family "Bacterial small subunit ribosomal RNA", at positions 338 to 732 of the family's 1533-position model. The record is from RNAcentral.